Long non-coding RNA from Cucumis melo (muskmelon), 1799 nucleotides. RefSeq lists it as uncharacterized. The transcript has 2 exons. NCBI's taxonomy places the organism in Eukaryota, Viridiplantae, Streptophyta, Magnoliopsida, Cucurbitales, Cucurbitaceae. The record is from RefSeq and is a predicted model, not a curated record.
UUCAAUUUGUCUAUCAAAUAGGCGCAAGGAAAUCCAGUGGGAGUUAGCCCAUAAGAAAAUGAUGAAGACUAUGUCACUAUGGUUUGGUUUUUAUUUGUUUUGGGCUGGGCGUUGUGGGCUUUCAAAUACGCUUGAAACUCUUAAGCAAAUGACGAAGACUAUGUCACUAUGGUUUGGUUUUUAUUUUAGUCUUGGGCUGGGCGUUGUGGGUUUUCAAAUACCCUUGAAAUUGUAAAUGAACUUAGAUUAUUGUUAGGAUUGGAGCAAUGGGCCUUUCUAUUUGGGCCAUAGAGAGCAACUUCCCAAACAAAUCCAAACGAAGAAAAGUAGUUCAUCAUGUAUGUGAACCUGAUAAAGCCACGUAACUAAUUUCUCGGAUAGAUCAAUUCUGUCAAUCAAAUUGUAUUCAAUAAAUGAGGCAAUUGCUCUGCCACUCUUUCUCUUCCAUCUUCUUCUCCUCUUCAUUCGAUUCCACCUCCAUCAUUUUUCUUCCCGUCUUAUUUUCUAACCCAUUCUUUCUCUUUUGAUCUUCUAAUUUUUUCUUAUAUUCUCAUUCAUAUCUACUUUUUCAAGUUUUUAUUUGCUUCUAGAUUUUUCUUUGUUGUCGUCCAGCCGCCUCCCCGGUGUUAGUAAAUCGGAAAAAAAAAAUCGUCCGACCAUAUACCAAAACUGCAUCGCCGACCGGUGUUGUUUUCAUGCUCACGAACCAUUAUCUACGGAUGCGUGGAUUUGGAACUAUUCUUCUGGAAAUUCACUGCGAAGAGUGCCAACAAAUUGGGUAUACUUGCUAAGCGGGAAGCCUCUCCGUCCGACUCCAAUAUGAAUGUGCAGUGGUGGAAAUAAUUGUGGAAGUCUAAUAUGCCCCCCAAAAAUCAAACUAUUCCUAUGUGUUUAACCGUAUUCCCCCAACAAAGCGAAACUUGAGGAAAAGGAAAUUUUGUGAUGACGACAGAUGUGUGUGGUUUUGUAAGGUGAUGAAUCCGAAAAUCAUGCUUUAUUCAAUUGCAAAAGAGCUAAAAAAAAUUAGCAGAUCGUGUUACCUGUCCUUAAACAUACUGUUGAUGUUGAAGCAACUAUUUGUGAGUUGCUUCGUUAAGUGGCGAAUCGACUGAGAAAGGAGGAAUUCUUCAGAUUUGGUGUUAUAAGUUGGGUUAUUUGGAACGAUAGAAAUCUGGUGAAUCAGUCUUUAGAUAUCUGUCCGGUGGAAGGGAAGGUUGUUGGAUCGAGGCGUGUAUGCACGAUGUUCGAAGAUCCGCUGAUCGUAGAGCCUCCUCGAUGCGGUGUUUCCAUCUUCCUACCUUGCCAGACGAAGAGGCCCCUCAGGCCGUGGACCCUCCAUUGAGUUCUAGAGAGGAGUGUCGCUGACAUUCUCUGACUGCAGGUCGGUUAAAAACGAAUGUGGACGUUGCUCCUGUGCUAGAGAAGGAUGGUUUCGGCGUCAGAAUUGUUGUUCGUGAUCUAUCUGGUGACGUGGUGGUGGCCCAAACGUGCUUUCUCCCUGGCUCGUGAUGUAUUGGAGAAAGGCUUGCGAAUUCGCUGAGUAAAAGCCCUAAUCUGAAUUUCCCUCCAUAUCCCCUUCAGCUUGUCGAAGAAGAAGAGAAUGAAAUUGAGACAGCAAGGAGACAGCUGGCAGCAAUGCCAUUAACAGCCUUCUUUUUUACCAUACUAAACAAUAAUGACCAUAUUAAGCAAUCUUGUUGAUCAUAUUAAAUAACGUUGAUCAUAUUAAAUAAUGUUAACCAUAUUAAGCAAUUUUGUUCACCAUAUUAAAUAAUAGCUACUUAUUAUAAUUGAUAGAA